Molecule: long non-coding RNA, 209 nt
Organism: Cucumis melo (muskmelon)
Lineage: Eukaryota; Viridiplantae; Streptophyta; Magnoliopsida; Cucurbitales; Cucurbitaceae
Exons: 3
Source: RefSeq, a predicted model, not a curated record
AGAAUCAAGAAGUUAAUGCAGAAGAUCAACCAAUGAAUCCAGAAAAUGAAGACAAAAAUAAUGAAAAAGACAAUGAAGAAAAACAAAUGAAUGAAGUUUCAAAAGAAGCACAUCACCCAACCAUUGGAGAAUCUGAAGAACAGUCAAAUGAAAGAGAGUUAGAUGGAAAGGAGUUAAUGGAAACAAGCCUCAAAUUAGUUGAAGACAUC